Molecule: ribosomal RNA, 388 nt
Filed under: uncultured bacterium
Lineage: Bacteria
Description: partial 16S ribosomal RNA
Rfam family: Bacterial small subunit ribosomal RNA
Source: RNAcentral
AUACGUAGGUGGCAAGCGUUAUCCGGAAUUAUUGGGCGUAAAGAGGGAGCAGGCGGCAAGAUAAGUUUGAAGUGAAAGCGUGGAGCUCAACUCCAUACAGCUUCGAAAACUGUCUAGCUAGAGUACGAGAUAAGUGAACGGAACUCCAUGUGUAGCGGUGAAAUGCGUAGAUAUAUGGAAGAACACCAGUGGCGAAGGCGGUUCACUAGCUCGAAACUGACGCUCAGUCCCGAAAGCGUGGGUAGCAAAUAGGAUUAGAUACCUUAGUAGUCCACGCCGUAAACGAUGAGAACUAAAUAUUGCCGCGAGGCAGUGUUGAAGCUAACUCAUUAAGUUCUCCGCCUGGGGAGUACGAUCGCAAGAUUGAAACUUAAAGGAAUUGACGGGG